This 367-nucleotide ribosomal RNA is filed under the name uncultured organism. RNAcentral describes it as "bacterial SSU rRNA". It matches the Rfam family "Bacterial small subunit ribosomal RNA", at positions 526 to 896 of the family's 1533-position model. The record is from RNAcentral.
CGGAGGGUGCAAGCGUUAUCCGGAUUCACUGGGUUUAAAGGGUGCGUAGGUGGGCAGGUAAGUCAGUGGUGAAAUCUCCGGGCCUAACUCGGAAACUGCCAUUGAUACUAUCUGUCUUGAAUACCGUGGAGGUCAGCGGAAUAUGUCAUGUAGCGGUGAAAUGCUUAGAUAUGACAUAGAACACCAAUUGCGAAGGCAGCUGGCUACACGAAUAUUGACACUGAUGCACGAAAGCGUGGGGAUCAAACAGGAUUAGAUACCCUGGUAGUCCACGCCCUAAACGAUGGAUACUCGACAUACGCGAUACACUGUGUGUGUCUGAGCGAAAGCAUUAAGUAUCCCACCUGGGAAUACGAUCGCAAGAUUG